Long non-coding RNA from Panthera uncia (snow leopard), 978 nucleotides. RefSeq lists it as uncharacterized. The record is from RefSeq and is a predicted model, not a curated record. The transcript is spliced from 4 exons. Lineage: Eukaryota; Metazoa; Chordata; Mammalia; Carnivora; Felidae.
CUGUGACGUAACAUUAGGCUACUACUGACCUUCUGACAACACGUCAGAAGGAGUAUCAUCUGCUUCCGGACUGCGGAUGACCACAGCAGAUCCGUGUGACUUGCAGAGGCCUGGCAGGCUCACUCUUUGGACUGCCCUGCUACAGCUCCUACUGGCCUUGUAUCCAACUGCUGCCAACGGAGUCAUCUACCAUUUGAGGCCAGUUGCCAUCACGGUCACCAAGGUAAACAGUGCCCUGUGCUUUUGCAGGAGGAGAAGCCAAGCGUUCUAAUGAGCACCAAGUAGAGAGCAAGGAGAGAGUCUAAACCCAGGAGGUAUGAUGUGUGCAACCAUAAUGGCUGAAUCGGAGCAUGACUGGCUUCUCACAACCUGGAGCAGAUUCAGGCAAUCUCAGGAUCUAGACCAUUGAGCAACUCCGUGAAGGCCUGUGCGGCACUGCGACAGCGCUGCUCGAGCAAAGCCGUGUAACCAUCCUGGAUUAAGCUUCUCAGCAUUUUCAUUAUAUUAGCAAAAUCCUGUAAAAGAAGAAAUUCUACUUCAGUAAUCCAGAGCUAUAUGCGUUCCGUCUGAAACUUAAGAUGCCAAAGUUCAUCAUAGGGCAUUUAUAUUUUACAACUGAUCAUAAACCCCCAAAGUUAUGCUUUAUGCAUUAUACUUUCUCUACAUGGCACCUUUAAAGCAAAAACCUAAAGGUACUACUUCACCAUCUUAUUUUCAAUACUCCUACUGCUGCUGACAGGAAAGGGUGGUUCAUUUUACACUGUAUGGUUCUAAGCCUUGCUCACUUCUCCAGACCAAACAGACAGCAUUCAGAAGUUUUAACAGCACAAAUGGAGAAUACCAGCCACCAAUUUAAGUAACUGUUUGGCUGGCACUAGAAUUAGACAAAUAAGAACAAGAAAUCAAUUUUCUGAUCACUAUCAGACUUUAACAACUGCCCUCGUGCUCUGGAAUUAAACCUUAAUUCUUAGCAAGAAA